This 745-nucleotide ribosomal RNA is filed under the name Pseudomonas sp. RNAcentral's name for it is "bacterial SSU rRNA". It matches the Rfam family "Bacterial small subunit ribosomal RNA", at positions 61 to 792 of the family's 1533-position model. Lineage: Bacteria; Pseudomonadati; Pseudomonadota; Gammaproteobacteria; Pseudomonadales; Pseudomonadaceae. The record is from RNAcentral.
GUCGAGCGGAUGAAGGGAGCUUGCUCCUGGAUUCAGCGGCGGACGGGUGAGUAAUGCCUAGGAAUCUGCCUGGUAGUGGGGGAUAACGUCCGGAAACGGGCGCUAAUACCGCAUACGUCCUGAGGGAGAAAGUGGGGGAUCUUCGGACCUCACGCUAUCAGAUGAGCCUAGGUCGGAUUAGCUAGUUGGUGGGGUAAAGGCCUACCAAGGCGACGAUCCGUAACUGGUCUGAGAGGAUGAUCAGUCACACUGGAACUGAGACACGGUCCAGACUCCUACGGGAGGCAGCAGUGGGGAAUAUUGGACAAUGGGCGAAAGCCUGAUCCAGCCAUGCCGCGUGUGUGAAGAAGGUCUUCGGAUUGUAAAGCACUUUAAGUUGGGAGGAAGGGCAGUAAGUUAAUACCUUGCUGUUUUGACGUUACCAACAGAAUAAGCACCGGCUAACUUCGUGCCAGCAGCCGCGGUAAUACGAAGGGUGCAAGCGUUAAUCGGAAUUACUGGGCGUAAAGCGCGCGUAGGUGGUUCAGCAAGUUGGAUGUGAAAUCCCCGGGCUCAACCUGGGAACUGCAUCCAAAACUACUGAGCUAGAGUACGGUAGAGGGUGGUGGAAUUUCCUGUGUAGCGGUGAAAUGCGUAGAUAUAGGAAGGAACACCCAGUGGCGAAGGGCGGACCACCCUGGACUGAUACUGACACUGGAGGUGCGAAAGCGGUGGGGGAGCCAAACAAGGGAUUAAUACCCCUGGG